UCCAGACUCCUACGGGAGGCAGCAGUGGGGGAUAUUGCACAAUGGGGGGAACCCUGAUGCAGCGACGCCGCGUGGGUGAAGGAGCGUUUCGGCGCGUAAAGCCCUAUCGGCAGGGAAGAAGGAGGACGGUACCUGACUAAGAAGCCCCGGCUAACUACGUGCCAGCAGCCGCGGUAAUACGUAGGGGGCCAGAGUUAUCCGGAUUUACUGGGUGUAAAGGGGGCGCAGACGGCAGCGCAAGCCAGGAGUGAAAGCCCGGGGCCCAACCCCGGGACUGCUCUUGGAACUGCGCGGCUGGAGUGCAGGAGGGGCAGGCGGAAUUCCUGGUGUAGCGGUGAAAUGCGUAGAUAUCAGGAGGAACACCGGUGGCGAAGGCGGCCUGCUGGACUGCGACUGACGUUGAGGCCCGAAAGCGUGGGGAGCAAACAGGAUUAGAUACCCCUGUA
This 446-nucleotide ribosomal RNA is filed under the name uncultured bacterium. RNAcentral's name for it is "partial 16S ribosomal RNA". It matches the Rfam family "Bacterial small subunit ribosomal RNA", at positions 330 to 792 of the family's 1533-position model. The record is from RNAcentral.